Molecule: microRNA, 19 nt
Filed under: Schistosoma japonicum
Lineage: Eukaryota; Metazoa; Platyhelminthes; Trematoda; Strigeidida; Schistosomatidae
Description: sja-miR-3011*
Source: RNAcentral
GGACUCAGUAGUCUAGUGG